RNAcentral lists this ribosomal RNA (496 nucleotides) under uncultured bacterium. RNAcentral's name for it is "partial 16S ribosomal RNA". It matches the Rfam family "Bacterial small subunit ribosomal RNA", at positions 29 to 507 of the family's 1533-position model. The record is from RNAcentral.
AUGCACGCUGGCGGCGUGCCUAAUACAUGCAAGUCGAGCGCACAGAUGAGGAGCUUGCUCCUCUGACGUUAGCGGCGGACGGGUGAGUAACACGUGGAUAACCUACCUAUAAGACUGGGAUAACUUCGGGAAACCGGAGCUAAUACCGGAUAAUAUAUUGAACCGCAUGGUUCAAUAGUGAAAGACGGUUUUGCUGUCACUUAUAGAUGGAUCCGCGCCGCAUUAGCUAGUUGGUAAGGUAACGGCUUACCAAGGCAACGAUGCGUAGCCGACCUGAGAGGGUGAUCGGCCACACUGGAACUGAGACACGGUCCAGACUCCUACGGGAGGCAGCAGUAGGGAAUCUUCCGCAAUGGGCGAAAGCUUGACGGAGCAACGCCGCGUGAGUGAUGAAGGUCUUCGGAUCGUAAAACUCUGUUAUUAGGGAAGAACAAAUGUGUAAGUAACUAUGCACGUCUUGACGGUACCUAAUCAGAAAGCCACGGCUAACUACGUG